GGAUUGUGGCUCAGAGGUAGAGUGCUCACCUAACAUGCCUGAGGCACUGGGUUCAAUCCUCAGCACCA
Molecule: transfer RNA, 68 nt
Filed under: Marmota monax (woodchuck)
Lineage: Eukaryota; Metazoa; Chordata; Mammalia; Rodentia; Sciuridae
Description: tRNA.Val
Source: RNAcentral